Molecule: ribosomal RNA, 655 nt
Filed under: Salmonella enterica
Lineage: Bacteria; Pseudomonadati; Pseudomonadota; Gammaproteobacteria; Enterobacterales; Enterobacteriaceae
Description: bacterial LSU rRNA
Rfam family: Bacterial large subunit ribosomal RNA
Source: RNAcentral
GGGUUGUGAGGUUAAGCGACUAAGCGUACACGGUGGAUGCCCUGGCAGUCAGAGGCGAUGAAGGACGUGCUAAUCUGCGAUAAGCGCCGGUAAGGUGAUAUGAACCGUUAUAACCGGCGAUUUCCGAAUGGGGAAACCCAGUGUGAUUCGUCACACUAUCGUUAACUGAAUACAUAGGUUAACGAAGCGAACCGGGGGAACUGAAACAUCUAAGUACCCCGAGGAAAAGAAAUCAACCGAGAUUCCCCCAGUAGCGGCGAGCGAACGGGGAGGAGCCCAGAGCCUGAAUCAGCAUGUGUGUUAGUGGAAGCGUCUGGAAAGGCGCGCGAUACAGGGUGACAGCCCCGUACACAAAAGCGCAUGUGCUGUGAGCUCGAUGAGUAGGGCGGGACACGUGGUAUCCUGUCUGAAUAUGGGGGGACCAUCCUCCAAGGCUAAAUACUCCUGACUGACCGAUAGUGAACCAGUACCGUGAGGGAAAGGCGAAAAGAACCCCGGCGAGGGGAGUGAAAAAGAACCUGAAACCGUGUACGUACAAGCAGUGGGAGCACAGGUUUACCUGUGUGACUGCGUACCUUUUGUAUAAUGGGUCAGCGACUUAUAUUCUGUAGCAAGGUUAACCGUAUAGGGGAGCCGCAGGGAAACCGAGUCUUAA